Molecule: transfer RNA, 74 nt
Filed under: Planobispora longispora
Lineage: Bacteria; Bacillati; Actinomycetota; Actinomycetes; Streptosporangiales; Streptosporangiaceae
Description: tRNA-Asn
Source: RNAcentral
CGCCCGGUGCGCAGGCGAGGGAUACUUCCACUGUUAAUGGGGUGGUUGCCGGUUCGAGUCCGGCCGGGGCCUCC